CAAACACGCACAUACACACGCGCAGAGCACAGAUUCACUGUAUUCAAGCUCUCUUUGGCCCCAGGUUCACGGAGCUGUGACCACCUAGACCUGGAGGUCUAACCCAGGUCACAGGGGUGUUCAUACCCUAGUUCGAGGACCCCCAUCUUCAACCAAGUAUGAACACAACUGGGAAUGACAGAGAGCCUCCCGCUUUCACAGGACCCUGCUAUUUUUAACCCCUUCUGCUGCCUGUGCUCCCCGGGAAAUGGAAGCCAACAUCUCCGCCAUGUAGAGAAAGGGAGGCUGAGCGAGAGAGGCAGCGUGCACCGAAUGAUCCGAGCCCGAUAAAAGAAGGUUACCUGUGUGUUUGUCAACAAGAUGAAAUAAAUAAGAGCAAAAAAAAAAA
This is a long non-coding RNA of Mesocricetus auratus (golden hamster), 388 nucleotides long. RefSeq lists it as uncharacterized. The record is from RefSeq and is a predicted model, not a curated record. NCBI's taxonomy places the organism in Eukaryota, Metazoa, Chordata, Mammalia, Rodentia, Cricetidae. The transcript is spliced from 3 exons.